GAAAUGUGAUAACUAAUGUGAAUUGCAGAAUUCAGUGAAUCAUCGAGUCUUUGAACGCACAUUGCGCCCCCUGGUAUUCCGGGGGGCAUGCCUGUCCGAGCGUCAUUGCUGCCCUCAAGCCCGGCUUGUGUGUUGGGCCCUCGUCCCCCGGCUCCCGGGGGACGGGCCCGAAAGGCAGCGGCGGCACCGCGUCCGGUCCUCGAGCGUAUGGGGCUUCGUCUUCCGCUCCGUAGGCCCGGCCGGCGCCCGCCGACGCAUUUAUUUGCAACUUGUUUUUUUCCAGGUUGACCUCGGAUCAGGUAGGGAUACCCGCUGAACUUAAGC
This 324-nucleotide unclassified non-coding RNA is filed under the name plant metagenome. RNAcentral's name for it is "partial contains 5.8S ribosomal RNA, internal transcribed spacer 2, and large subunit ribosomal RNA". The stretch from base 1 to 105 matches the Rfam family "5.8S ribosomal RNA", at positions 50 to 154 of the family's 154-position model. The record is from RNAcentral.